This 440-nucleotide ribosomal RNA is filed under the name uncultured bacterium. RNAcentral describes it as "partial 16S ribosomal RNA". It matches the Rfam family "Bacterial small subunit ribosomal RNA", at positions 338 to 795 of the family's 1533-position model. The record is from RNAcentral.
CCUACGGGGGGCAGCAGUGGGGGAUAUUGCACAAUGGGGGAAACCCUGAUGCAGCGACGCCGCGUGGGUGAAGAAGCGCCUCGGCGCGUAAAGCCCUGUCAGCAGGGAAGAAAAUGACGGUACCUGAAGAAGAAGCCCCGGCUAACUACGUGCCAGCAGCCGCGGUAAUACGUAGGGGGCAAGCGUUAUCCGGAUUUACUGGGUGGAAAGGGGGCGCAGACGGCGAUGCAAGCCAGGAGUGAAAGCCCGGGGCCCAACCCCGGGACUGCUCUUGGAACUGCGUGGCUAGAGUGCAGGAGGGGCAGGCGGAAUUCCUGGUGUAGCGGUGAAAUGCGUAGAUAUCAGGAGGAACACCAGUGGCGAAGGCGGCUUACUGGACAGUAACUGACGUUGAGGCUCGAAAGCGUGGGGAGCAAACAGGAUUAGAUACCCCAGUAGUC